GACGUUACCUACAGAAGAAGCACCGGCUAACUCCGUGCCAGCAGCCGCGGUAAUACGGAGGGGUGCGAGCGUUAAUCGGAAUUACUGGGCGUAAAGCGCAUGCAGGCGGCCUGUUAAGUCAGAUGUGAAAGCCCGGGGCGUUAACCUCGGAAUUGCAUUUGAAACUGGCAGGCUAGAGUCUUGUAGAGGGGGGUAGGAAGUUUCAGGUGUAGCGGUGAAAUGCGUAGAGAUCUGAAGGAAUACCAGUGGCGAAGGCGGCCCCCUCGGACAGAUACUGACACUCAGAUGCGAAAGCGUGGGGAGCAAACAGGAUUAGAUACCCCUGGUAG
RNAcentral lists this ribosomal RNA (329 nucleotides) under uncultured bacterium. Its description in RNAcentral is "bacterial SSU rRNA". It matches the Rfam family "Bacterial small subunit ribosomal RNA", at positions 471 to 793 of the family's 1533-position model. The record is from RNAcentral.